GAUGAACGCUGACAGAAUGCUUAACACAUGCAAGUCUUUGGCGAAGCUGUGCUUGCACAGCCUAGCCAAGGCGGACGGGUGAGUAACGCGUAAGGAACUUGCCCUGCAGUCAGGGAUAACAGACGGAAACGACUGAUAAGACCUGGUAAAGUCAGGCGGACUCAUGUCCAGCCUGAUGAAAAGAGAUGCUGCAGGAGAGCCUUGCGUCCUAUUAGCUUGUUGGUGGGGUAACGGCCCACCAAGGCGAUGAUAGGUAGCCGGCCUGAGAGGGUGGACGGCCACAAGGGGACUGAGAUACGGCCCUUACCCCUACGGGAGGCAGCAGUGGGGAAUAUUGGACAAUGGGGGCAACCCUGAUCCAGCAAUUCUGUGUGCACGAUGAAGGUUUUCGGAUUGUAAAGUGCUUUCAGCAGGGAAGAAAAAAAUGACGGUACCUGCAGAAGAAGCGACGGCUAAAUACGUG
Molecule: ribosomal RNA, 463 nt
Filed under: uncultured bacterium
Lineage: Bacteria
Description: partial 16S ribosomal RNA
Rfam family: Bacterial small subunit ribosomal RNA
Source: RNAcentral